GACGGGGACCCGCACAAGCGGUGGAGCAUGUGGUUUAAUUCGAUGCAACGCGAAGAACCUUACCUGGUCUUGACAUCCACAGAACUUAGCAGAGAUGCUUUGGUGCCUUCGGGAACUGUGAGACAGGUGCUGCAUGGCUGUCGUCAGCUCGUGUUGUGAAAUGUUGGGUUAAGUCCCGCAACGAGCGCAACCCUUAUCCUUUGUUGCCAGCGGUCCGGCCGGGAACUCAAAGGAGACUGCCAGUGAUAAACUGGAGGAAGGUGGGGAUGACGUCAAGUCAUCAUGGCCCUUACGACCAGGGCUACACACGUGCUACAAUGGCAUAUACAAAGAGAAGCGACCUCGCGAGAGCAAGCGGACCUCAUAAAGUAUGUCGUAGUCCGGAUUGGAGUCUGCAACUCGACUCCAUGAAGUCGGAAUCGCUAGUAAUCGUAGAUCAGAAUGCUACGGUGAAUACGUUCCCGGGCCUUGUACACACCGCCCGUCACACCAUGGGAGUGGGUUGCAAAAGAAGUAGGUAGCUUAACCUUCGGGAGGGCGCUUACCACUUUGUGAUUCAUGACUGGGGUGAAGUCGUAAGCAAGGUAACC
This 590-nucleotide ribosomal RNA is filed under the name uncultured bacterium. RNAcentral describes it as "bacterial SSU rRNA". It matches the Rfam family "Bacterial small subunit ribosomal RNA", at positions 912 to 1501 of the family's 1533-position model. The record is from RNAcentral.